CCUACGGGUGGCUGCAGUCGAGAAUCAUUCACAAUGGGGGAAACUCUGAUGGUGCGACGCCGCGUGGGGGAAUGAAGGUCUUCGGAUUGUAAACUCCUGUCAUGUGGGAGCAAAUUAAAAAGAUAGUAUUACAUGAGGAAGAGAUGGCUAAGUUGGUGCCAGCAGCCGCGGUAAUACAGAGGUCACAAGCGUUGUUCGGAAUCACUGGGCGUAAAGCGUGCGCAGGCGGUUUCGUAAGUCGUGUGUGAAAGGCGCGGGCUCAACCCGCGGACGGCACAUGAUACUGCGAGACUGGAGUGAUGGAGGGGGAACCGGAAUUCUCUGUGUAGCAGUGAAAUGCGUAGAUAUCGAGAGGAACACUCGUGGCGAAGGCGGGUUCCUGGACAUUAACUGACGCUGAGGCGCGAAGGCCAGGGGAGCGAAAGGGAUUAGAUACCCUUGUAGUC
This 446-nucleotide ribosomal RNA is filed under the name uncultured bacterium. RNAcentral describes it as "partial 16S ribosomal RNA". It matches the Rfam family "Bacterial small subunit ribosomal RNA", at positions 338 to 795 of the family's 1533-position model. The record is from RNAcentral.